CCAUUUUGCAACCAUUUGGGAAUCACCUUCAAUCCAAAAACAAAUUAAACCCAGCUUGAAGACGGCGUUCCUCACCGCAUGCCAAGCGGUCUGGAGCUCUGCUUCCGGGACGUAAAAUGCCUUUGAAUGAAUUGCCUCCACAUACCAUACCACUCCAUAAUGAUCUCUGAUAAUGUAUCUCAGUCUGGUCCUAUCUACAGUCCAAGAAGCAUUGAAAUUGAUCUUAACCUGAUCACAGAGUGAGGAUGCCCAAGACACUAGACGGCCGAA
RNAcentral lists this long non-coding RNA (270 nucleotides) under Elaeis guineensis (African oil palm). RNAcentral describes it as "long non-coding RNA (EGUI_LNC016443)". Lineage: Eukaryota; Viridiplantae; Streptophyta; Magnoliopsida; Arecales; Arecaceae. The record is from RNAcentral.